RNAcentral lists this ribosomal RNA (861 nucleotides) under uncultured archaeon. Its description in RNAcentral is "bacterial SSU rRNA". It matches the Rfam family "Archaeal small subunit ribosomal RNA", at positions 23 to 859 of the family's 1478-position model. The record is from RNAcentral.
CCCACUGCUAUCGGGGUGGGACUAAGACAUGCUAGUCGAGCGUUUCCAAGCUAUGGUGGAAGCGCGGCAUACAGCUCAGUAACACGUGGCUAACCUACCCUUGGGACGGAAAUAACCCCGGGAAACUGGGACUAAUGUGCGAUAGGUGAAGAUUCCUGGAAUGGGUUUUCGCCAAAAUGGCGCUUUGGCCAUGCUUCUAAGCGCUGCCCAAGGAUGGGGCCGCGACCGAUCAGGUUGUUGGUGAGGUAACGGCUCACCAAGCCUUUAACCGGUACGGGCCGCGAGAGCGGGAGCCCGGAGAUGGGCACUGAGACAAGGGCCCAGGCCCUACGGGGCGCAGCAGUCACGAAAACUCCGCAAUACGCGAAAGCGUGACGGGGUUACCCCGAGUGCCGUCCGCUGAGGGUGGCUUUUCCUUAAUGUACAAAGUUAGGGGAAUAAGGAGAGGGCAAGACUGGUGUCAGCCGCCGCGGUAAUACCAGCUCUCCGAGUGGUGGGGAUGUUUAUUGGGCCUAAAGCAUUCGUAGCCUGCCAGACAAGUCCCCUGUUAAAUCCAGCGACUUAAUCGUUGGGCUGCGAGGGAUACUGUCCGGCUAGGAGAUGGGAGAGGUCGACGGUAUUCCCGGGGUAGGGGUGAAAUCUUAUAAUCCCGGGAGGACCACCAGUGGCGAAGGCUGUCGACUGGAACAAGCUCGACGGUGAGGGAUGAAAGCUGGGGGAGCGAACUGGAUUAGAUACCCGGGUAGUCCCAGCUGUAAACUAUGCAGGCUAGGUGUUAGGGCGGCUACGUGCCGCUUUAGUGCCGCAGGGAAGCUGUUAAGCCUGCCGCCUGGGAAGUACGGUCGCAAGGCUGAAACUUAA